RNAcentral lists this ribosomal RNA (932 nucleotides) under Ehrlichia canis. RNAcentral's name for it is "partial 16S ribosomal RNA". The stretch from base 1 to 427 matches the Rfam family "Bacterial small subunit ribosomal RNA", at positions 86 to 536 of the family's 1533-position model. The record is from RNAcentral. Lineage: Bacteria; Pseudomonadati; Pseudomonadota; Alphaproteobacteria; Rickettsiales; Anaplasmataceae.
AAUGUUUUAGUGGCAGACGGGUGAGUAUGCGUAGGAAUCUACCUAGUAGUACGGAAUAGCCAUUAGAAAUGGUGGGUAAUACUGUAUAAUCCCCGAGGGGGAAAGAUUUAUCGCUAUUAGAUGAGCCUACGUUAGAUCAGCUAGUUGGUGAGGUAAUGGCUUACCAAGGCUAUGAUCUAUAGCUGGUCUGAGAGGACGAUCAGCCACACUGGAACUGAGAUACGGUCCAGACUCCUACGGGAGGCAGCAGUGGGGAAUAUUGGACAAUGGGCGAAAGCCUGAUCCAGCUAUGCCGCGUGAGUGAAGAAGGCCUUCGGGUUGUAAAACUCUUUCAAUAGGGAAGAUAAUGAGGUUACCUAUAAUGUGAAGAUGUUGCACCUUGCUUAAGAAUCUCCCUAAUAAUUGAAAAGUUUUUAACAAAGGGGGGGUUUUUUUUGACAUCCAAAAGGGGGGAAUUGAAAUUCAAAAUUAGAGGGGGGGGGGGGUAAUUUCCCCCCCCCCCCUUGCAAUAGUUUACCAUUAAAAUACAUUUAAAAUUUGGUCAAUUUUAGACCAUUCAAUCUUAAAAAUUAAAAAUUUCAUUCUUAAAUCUCUUUAAAUUUUUUCACCUAUUUAUAUUUGCUCUAUCUCUCUUUUAAAAAGCUUCACCUCCCCCGUAAUUUGUGAAAAUUGCUUUUUUUUUUUAAAACUCUCCCCCUUAUUUAACAUCUUGUUAAAAAAUUUUAAAAUUUACACAAUUUUCACCUCUCCACAACCCUCAUAUUUGGACAUUUAAACUCCUCAAUCAAACAUUUUAAAAUUUAAAAAAAAUUUUUUCAUUAACUCAUUGUGAACUCUUCUCGUUUCUAAUGCUUCUAUUAGUUUUUUCACACUCUUCGACAUGUUAUGUCGAUAUCCUCGCCCAACCACCUUUCUUUCUAAAUUUUAAAAUU